GGCGUCAGGACGAACGCUGGCGGCGUGCUUCAUACAUGCAAGUCGAACGAGAAGCUGACUUCGGUCAGUGGAAAGUGGCGGACGGGUGAGUAAUAUGUAGGAAAUCUGCCCUAGAGAGGGGGACAACAGAGGGAAACUUCUGCUAAUACCCCAUAUGAGCUUAGUUGAAAUACUAAUCUUGAAAACUCCGGUGCUCCAGGAUGAGCCUGCAUCUGAUUAGCUAGUUGGCGGUGUAAUGGACCACCAAGGCGACGAUCAGUAGCUGGUUUGAGAGGAUGAUCAGCCACAAUGGGACUGAGACACGGCCCAUACUCCUACGGGAGGCAGCAGUAGGGAAUUUUGCGCAAUGGGCGAAAGCCCUGACGCAGCAACGCCGCGUGAACGAUUAAGCCCUUCGGGGUGUAAAGUUCUGUCAGUGGGGACGAAUUUUGACGGUACCCACAGAGGAAGCACCGGCUAACUCCGUGCCAGCCGCAGC
This 478-nucleotide ribosomal RNA is filed under the name uncultured bacterium. RNAcentral's name for it is "bacterial SSU rRNA". It matches the Rfam family "Bacterial small subunit ribosomal RNA", at positions 20 to 518 of the family's 1533-position model. The record is from RNAcentral.